This 503-nucleotide long non-coding RNA is filed under the name Solanum tuberosum (potato). RNAcentral describes it as "long non-coding RNA (STUB_LNC005591)". Lineage: Eukaryota; Viridiplantae; Streptophyta; Magnoliopsida; Solanales; Solanaceae. The record is from RNAcentral.
ACUUGUGGACCUCCCUUGAGGGAUUAGAUUGAGUUUGUUGUUGUGGUAAUCUUAAAAAUGUCAUCACAUUUGUGUGGCGGUAAAGUCAUCACAUUUGUGUGGCGGUAAAAGUUUGUCAUUACGGGUAAAAUUAGCUUCCAAAUUAAGGGUCAUUUUUUUAGAUGGACUAAAAAGGAAAUAUGGUCAUAUAAGUUGGAAUGGAGGGAGUACAUAGUUUCAUAUGACAUAAAUUAUCAACAUGUAUACAUACUCUUUUUGCUCUUUUGAUGUGAAUUCAAGUCAAACUUAUCAUGAAUAAUAAGCCAUGGAUAUAGAUGAGGUUUGCCUCAAAGUUAUUAAAAUAAGGUUCCCUCUGGAAAGGAGCAAAACACCCAACUUCCAUUGUGCUACAUUAGUUAAAACUAGAGAAAAGAAUCAAAUUUGCCCCUACAAUUAAAAAGGUUUAAUAUUGCCCUCCGUUAUACUAUAGGUCUAUAUAUGCGCUUAAUGUUAUACUAUCGGCC